UACGAAGGGUGCGAGCGUUGUUCGGAUUUACUGGGCGUAAAGGGCGCGUAGGCGGCCCUCCUUGUCGCGUGUGAAAGCCCCGGGCUCAACCUGGGAAUUGCGCGCGAAACGGGGGGGCUUGAGUUCGGGAGAGGAGCGUGGAAUUCCCAGUGUAGAGGUGAAAUUCGUAGAUAUUGGGAAGAACACCGGUGGCGAAGGCGGCGAGCUGGUCCAUUACUGACGCUGAGGCGCGACAGCGUGGGGAGCAAACAGG
This 253-nucleotide ribosomal RNA is filed under the name uncultured bacterium. RNAcentral describes it as "partial 16S ribosomal RNA". It matches the Rfam family "Bacterial small subunit ribosomal RNA", at positions 524 to 776 of the family's 1533-position model. The record is from RNAcentral.